CGCAUCUGUGCAUGCAGCAUAUCAAUAAGCGGAGGAAAAGAAACUAACAAGGAUUCCCCUAGUAACGGCGAGUGAAGCGGGAAGAGCUCAAAUUUGAAAUCUUAAAGGGUUUCCCUUUACGAAUUGUAGUUUAAAGAAGUGUUUUCUGUUGAGGUUUUGGUAAAAGUUCUUUGGAAUAGGACAUCAUAGAGGGUGAGAAUCCCGUAUUUGACCUUUACUUUCAACUUUGUGAUACACUUUCAAAGAGUCGGGAUUGUUUGGGAAUGCAGUCCAAAAUGGGUGGUAAAUUUCAUCUAAAGCUAAAUAUUGGCGAGAGACCGAUAGCGAACAAGUAGCCGUGAGGGAAAGAUGAAAAGAACUUUGAAAAGAGAGUUAAACAGUACGUGAAAUUGUCAAAAGGGAAGCGUUUGACACCAGUGUUGUUUUUCUGAAAAUCAAUUAAAGAACUGUUUAUGCUAAGCUGUUUAGACUUUAUCAGCUAUCUGUUUAGUUUUGAGCUUUUCUUUAAUGCACUUUUCAGUUAACAAGUCAACAUCAAUUUCUUUUGCUGUAAAAAAGCUUGAGGAAGGUGGCUUGAGAUUCGUCUUAAGUGUUUAUAGCCUCUUGCCUAUGCAGUCGGAGAGAUUGAGGUACUGCAGCGUAGAUCCUUCGGGGCUAAAUGCAUUUGUGCUAAGUUAUAGCAUUUUAUAGACAACUUGUUGACUAUGAUUUGUCUUGUAGCUUACUCGCUUAUGUUAUUUUACCUACGCUUAGGAUGUUGAACGCGCACAGAGUCUC
RNAcentral lists this ribosomal RNA (777 nucleotides) under uncultured Neocallimastigales. RNAcentral's name for it is "partial large subunit ribosomal RNA". It matches the Rfam family "Eukaryotic large subunit ribosomal RNA", at positions 26 to 635 of the family's 3401-position model. Lineage: Eukaryota; Fungi; Neocallimastigomycota; Neocallimastigomycetes; Neocallimastigales. The record is from RNAcentral.